Molecule: ribosomal RNA, 403 nt
Filed under: Verrucomicrobiota bacterium
Lineage: Bacteria; Pseudomonadati; Verrucomicrobiota
Description: Verrucomicrobia bacterium partial 16S ribosomal RNA
Rfam family: Bacterial small subunit ribosomal RNA
Source: RNAcentral
UGGGGAAUAUUGCACAAUGGGGGAAACCCUGAUGCAGCGACGCCGCGUGAGCGAAGAAGGCUUUCGAGUCGUAAAGCUCUGUCCUAUGAGAAGAUAAUGACGGUAUCAUAGGAGGAAGCCCUGGCUAAAUACGUGCCAGCAGCCGCGGUAAUACGUAUGUGGCGAGCGUUGUCCGGAAUUAUUGGGCGUAAAGGGUACGUAGGCGGUUUUUUAAGUCAGGUGUCAAAGCGUGGAGCUUAACUCCAUUAAGCACUUGAAACUGAAAGACUUGAGUGAAGGAGAGGAAAGUGGAAUUCCUAGUGUAGCGGUGAAAUGCGUAGAUAUUAGGAGGAAUACCGGUGGCGAAGGCGACUUUCUGGACUUUUACUGACGCUCAGGUACGAAAGCGUGGGGAGCAAACAGG